Molecule: non-coding RNA, 797 nt
Organism: Pocillopora verrucosa
Lineage: Eukaryota; Metazoa; Cnidaria; Anthozoa; Scleractinia; Pocilloporidae
Source: RefSeq, a predicted model, not a curated record
ACAGCAACAGUCAAUCAUCCCUUAUGAUUUGCAUCUAAAUUUGUUAUGGCAGCAACUGUGGUUUGCCUAUUUUGGACCAAGUGACUUAUCUAUGAUAUAUGAAACUAAAAAGUUCUAUUUUAUUAGUGGACAACUGAUGGGUCAACUUUUUUAUGAUUGCUGGAUUUUCAUUACAAAAUAAUGAAGAAAGUUACAAGUUUUUUCCAGGAGGGGGUUCCAGAAUUUCAUUAUAUUGUUUGUUUGUCAUUUUUUACAGUCUGGAUCAUGAAAGUAGACAAACCUACUGGUUGAAGAUAUUAGCACACACUCAGAGGUUUGUGACAUCUACAGAGCCUCAGUCUAGCACUGGCAACACAGACUCAUCAUGAGUUGGGUAACUUUGAAGAAGGAUCUCCUGAGCAAGAUUGGUUCGUUAGGAGCAUACCCUAUAAAGAAACAGGCAGAAUGCAUGCACAGUCCACCUAGUAACUGCACUGUGUGUUACUACUGGCUGACUGACUACCUGGGGUCACUGACUGUCUGUAGAGUUUACGACUUGGCAGGCUGGCUGACCAACUGACUGUCUGGAUUGUUGACUCAGUGACUGAAUGAGCUGGGGAGUGAGUGAAUGAGUAACUUCUAAAGUUACGAGUCCAAGUCGAGGAUACGUUCUAUUUUGGUACUGCAAAGAUUGCCAGUUAAAAAAACAAGGGCAAGAGAGAAGAAACUAUUUUGCAAUUUGUUUGAGGUACAUUACCAUUAUGAACUUCACGGAACACUGUAAGUGGUUUCAAUGUAAAUAUUUUAUUGAUGUGCUG